GCCGGGCGGGGUGGCUCAUGCCUGUAAUCUCAGCACUUUGGGAGGCUGAGGUGAGCGGAUCACCUGAGGUCAGGAGUUCUAGACCAGCCUGGCCAACAUGGUGAAACCUCAUCUCUA
RNAcentral lists this non-coding RNA (117 nucleotides) under Nomascus leucogenys (northern white-cheeked gibbon). Lineage: Eukaryota; Metazoa; Chordata; Mammalia; Primates; Hylobatidae. The record is from Rfam by way of RNAcentral.